AGCAGCCGCGGUAAUUCCAGCUCCAAUAGCGUAUAUUAAAGUUGUUGCAGUUAAAAAGCUCGUAGUUGAAUUUCGGGAUCAGUCUAUCGGUCGUGCAAUAGUACGUACUGAUUUUAUUGAUUCCUCCCUUCUGAUGAACUAUGAUGUCAUUAAUUUGGUGUCAUAGGGAAUCAGGACUGUUACUUUGAAAAAAUUAGAGUGUUUAAAGCAGGCUCACGCUUGAAUACAUUAGCAUGGAAUAACGAAAUAGGACGUUUGAUUCUAUUUUGUUGGUUUCUAGGAUCGACGUAAUGAUUAAUAGGGAUAGUUGGGGGCAUUAGUAUUCAAUUGUCAGAGGUGAAAUUCUUGGAUUUAU
Molecule: ribosomal RNA, 355 nt
Filed under: uncultured Glomus
Lineage: Eukaryota; Fungi; Glomeromycota; Glomeromycetes; Glomerales; Glomeraceae
Description: SSU rRNA
Rfam family: Eukaryotic small subunit ribosomal RNA
Source: RNAcentral